AGGCUCUUUCUAGAUGCUGAGGAUACAGCAGUGAACAAACAGACAAAAAUCACUGUUUUCAAGAAAUUUACAUUUUGGGAAGUGAGGAGAGACAAACAUUUAAAGAAAAUCAAUAAAUGAAAUACAGAUCGUAGACCAGAUGGAUAAGUGCCAUGGCGAAAAAUAAAGGUCACACAGAACACCACGAACCCACCCCCAUGGUUCUGGAAUGAUUGGAAUUCACAGCAUUGCCUACCUCAAAAAUAAUGAAAGGUUCUGCAGAGACCCACUGACGGCUUAUGUUUACGCCACUUGUUUUCGCAAGGGAGCUUAAGGUCUUCCUUCUGUGAAGCGAAGAGAGGAGUGUUGACGGUGCCUGUUUUUCUGUAAUGGACCUAUUUGGCAAAAUGAGAUAACCGAGACUUGCCCCAAAUCAUAUAAGUAGAGGUAGAGCCAGGGCUUGACCCCAGGCCGGCAGGACUCCAGUGCUCGUUGUCUCCAGUGCAGCCCCUUGCACAAGUGCCGGCAUUCUCCCAACUUCCAGCUGACCAUCUCCGGCUGUAAGUUCCACCAGCACCUCGAAUUUAAUAUGUGAAAGCAAAAUUCAUGCCUCCUCUGUCUGCUCCGGUUAGCAUCCCUGUUCUUCCUCUCUCAGGCUUAAAACCUCCACUUGUUCUUUUCUCUUCCCACUCCUUUCUUGCCCCAUCCAGAAGGUUGCCUGGCCUCAUCGACGUCCGACCCAGACUUCCCAUUCCUGUGGCUGCGUGGCAGGCGAGCCCAUGCGGCCUCUCCCCUGUGAGCCUGUCCCAGGCUGCUGGUCUCCAUCAUCUCCAAUGGACGAGAAUUCUGCUGCCAGAGAAAGCUUCUGUUAGAGCCUAGCUCUGAUUUCCUCACUCUCUGCUCAAAACUUAAUGUCAUACUAACAAUAACAAUGGAUUUCUUCCUGUGGACUCAAAAGAAUGUUCACCCUCCUUAGUUUGUCAUUCAAGGCCUUCAACGAUAUUCCUCAGCCCAAAUUUCCAGAGUUAAACCGCUUGAUGUUGCCUUCAUACCCCUUUUUGCCUCUUCCUAUCCUUUUAUUCCAAGCAAACCCCUCCUGUCGCCUCGCCCUUUCCCCCUGCGUCUUUCUCUGUCUGGUACUGUUUGCUGAAACGGGCUCUCCAUCGCCUCUCCCUGCUCGCAUCCUAACUGUCGCUCCAGGUGGGUUUCAGGUGCCACUCCUUCCCUGGAGCCUUCCUGCUCUGCUGGAAGGGGCCUCCGCUUCCCGAGGCUGCUGGCGGCAUGUGGUACAGCGGCAGGCGGUGGUCACCCGGCCCGCACUCCUCCUCAGACUCCUCCUUGGACUUCCUGAAGACAGGGAUCUGGUCUUCACAUUUUGGUUCCCCUUAGGGCCUAGCCCAGGAACUCAAACAUUCACUGAAGGAGUGGAUGAGGCUGGAAGAGGAUUGCAGAAGGAAGCGUGAGGUUGCUGACAGAAAACUGGGCUCUAUUUGCAUCCUCCAUGCUUUAGACGCCCCUAGAAUUUCUCCUGAAGAAGUCAGUCCCACUUCAUCCACGUGGUUUUAUCUGAGGCUUUGCUUUGCUGCUCCCCUGUCACGUGGUCUACUCUUUCUUCAUCAAAUCAUUUUGUUUUCACUCUCUUUUACUCUAUCAGAAAUGGUUCCACCUUUUAGGAUUGAAACAGCUCUCUUCGAUCACUCCAAAAACCCAUUUAUACUUAUUUCAGGGAUUUGUAUUUUGUGUAUUCUAAAAAUAUUCUUACAGCCUUCUGUCAUUUACACUUUGGGCAAUUUAAAUUUGUGGCUAUUUGUCCUUGUCCUAGAACCCCUAUUUAUCUCUUUGCUGAGGGCAGGGCCAUUGUGUGGCACAGUAUCAGGGCCAUAACGUUGGUAGCCUGUAUGGAUGGGGUUCUCCUGAGUUGAGCAGUGCUUGGCUUGUUCAACAGUAUGUGGCAGCCCUGACUGUGGACCCAUAAAAGUCAGGUGUACACUUGGCUGAUUUCUGGUCAGUUUGUAAGUCAUCAUGGGUUCAUUUGGACCCUGGGUAUCUCCAGGAGGGUUGAAUGGGAAGUCAGCUGCAUGCGGUUUCUUUAGUCACUCAGAGUUUCAGGAAAACAGGCUCCUAUCUGGCCAUCCAGCCCUUGUCCGGUCUGUCACUGCACAUGCAGAGACUCCACAGGCUGCCAAUGUGAAAGCUGGGAGCCUCAGAAAGCACUUGUAGGUGUUAAAUUUCACAUUUGGGUAUUCAGAUUGGCACCAGAGGAAAAAAUACUUGGAAUCCAACAGCUUUGCCAAUUAUGACAAGUUAGUGUGGCCCUUUGUGUCAGAAGUAUGUGCUUGGUUAAGCCCUGGGUUAAACAAGGGUGGUGGGUCCUAUGUAAACACAAAGAGAAAUCACACUUUAUAUUAGUCUACACCUGUGCUUGACCAGCUCCUCAGCGGCCCUGCUUCUCGUGGAGUGAAUGUGGCAGGCAGUGCAAUGAUGCCUCCCCUUCAGGGGUUGGGGCUGCUUCCUCCCGCCUGGGAUGCCCAGCCCUCUGAACACGACGGCAAUGCGGGAUGAAGGCUUUCCUGCAGAGAAGCCACCGUCUGCAAUUUUCUUGGAACUUGAUGUGAGUUUGGAAGGAAAAAUGACCCAGAGGAGGACAAGCAAGGAGAGACAGCCCAUUAGCACCUGAACCAUAUGACAAAGCAAAACGCAACUUCAGAGCUGUCAGCGAGACAGCUGGGGGAACAUGCCAAGAAGCCAGAUACUGCUGUUGAAAGACUAUUUUCCACAAAGUUUGGGCCUGUGAUGUUCAUCUCAGCGCCAUGUGUGGCCCUAGGCACGGGCUUUAUUGCUGGAUAAAAGAACAAAAGCAGGGAGGGGGGCAAUUGUGUGCAUGCCGGGGGCUGACUUAUAAAAUUAAAGCAGAUGAUGAGUGGAAAUCCUGUUCGCUAUAACCUACCAACAUUAUUAAGAAUCUGAACUCUAUACCUGUCUCCUCUAUAAGGGAUGUAUUUGGAAAACUCCCCAACAAGUGGCAUGUUUUAACUGGAAGCUAGAUAUUAGGUUGGUGAGAUCCCACUGCCAGCUCAUCCUGUCAGACUUUCUAGCUUCAUUCUGUGGUCCCAGGAAUAUUCAUAUAUGUGAAGUCUUCUGGUAUUUUUCUUUGUUCCAGAUCAGUGGAAUUUGUUCUCAUUUUAGAGGUGAAGGAACUGAAAAGAAUCUUACAGACUUAAAGAAGUGUGAAAGGGUUUGCUUCAAGACCUUCCCUUUGACGUCUCUGGGCAUAGAAACUCCUGGGUGCACAGCCUUUACCCAGCUCCCACCACUGGACUACACUGUCCUGCUCUUGGCUCUCCCCGUCUCACUCCCCCAGACCCGCCUAUUUCCAUUAUCUACUCUCUCCUCUCCCCCCACCACUCCGGACUCAUGAUAUAAGAGACCAAAAUCUUUUCUUUCAUGCCCAAAAGGGUGCUGGGGGAAUCAUGUCUUGACUUUUUGGAAGAGAAAAGCAUUUUUUAAAAAAGGUUAUUUGUACUGGAGAGAAUUUCUGGAAACAGGCUGGAUAGAUACGUUAAAAAAUCUUGAGGUGUGAGAAAAUGAUUCUUUCUGCGUCAUGCAAACAGAGCAGUCAGCAGAUAAAUUGUAGACAUCAAGACCUCACGCGUUUCCUGAGGACACUGGGGAGGAGAGUGCUUUGCCUUCACACCACGAGAGCUGGGUGGAAGCAGUUUCUAGCGUGUCCACUCUUGGUUUACCCCCUUGAAGAAAAGAGAGCAGACAUGGGGCUAACAUAAAGUAUUGGGUCAUCUAAAGCUCAGAUGCCUUGUAGCUGCUGUGGACUGUGGUUCUGCCUUGACACGCUUUUAUGCGGAUGGGGCAAGUUGGAAGACUCUGGAGUUUGCUGGCCAGGUCACUGAGCACCCGGGGUUUGGACUUCAAACAGGCAGGAGAAGGAGGCUUUCCUCACUGCUUUUUCUUCCCUUUCUGACUUGUCUUCUGUUACGGAGCAACAAGGAGUUCUCACUGCCUGUCUUAGCUUGGGUUCUUUCCAGAAAGCAGAGCCAGA
This is a non-coding RNA of Equus caballus (horse), 4033 nucleotides long. Lineage: Eukaryota; Metazoa; Chordata; Mammalia; Perissodactyla; Equidae. The record is from RefSeq and is a predicted model, not a curated record.